AUGGCUAUAAUGAUAGGCGAUCCACUCCACCACCUGCUGACGGUGGUUCCGGCGGUGAUAGAUAUAGCAGCUCAUCCGCAGGUGGUAGUGGUGAAUACGAUGGUUGAAGAGGCGGAGGGAUUUGUUGAUUGAAGCGGGAUAUUGAUUGGAAAAUAUUAUAGAGCAAAAACGGAUUUUGAGGGUUCCCAUAAUCAAUCAACGGCUGAUACGCGCGAGUCGUCGUCACAAUAUAGAAGAACUGACUUAUCCUGUAGCUUUAAUCAGAACCACGACAGUGGUAGAGGAAGUGGUGGUGACCUCACCAACAACCCAGCAUCAGCAUAGUAGGACUACCAAUGCAAAGAAGGGAAGCAGUCCAUUCGAAGAAUUAAUUAAGAAGCUCUGUUGGUCUCUUUGGGCACAGCAACAUGAGACUUUUAUUUGGCAGAAGACGGCUGAUUCUGAGUAUUAUACAUCCAGGUCCAGCUACACUUUGACUCUUGCACAACUUUAUCUAGUUUUAUUGAUAGUGGUCAUAUUCAGUUGUAAAGACUUACCAGCUACAGGUACCAAAGAGAAUACAGAAUCCCUAAACAAAAUAAAUUGGCAAUGGGUCAGAGAAUAAUAUACAAGCAACGAUCUGAGUUUUUUCAUUAGUCAUUUUAAAUUUAGCAUCAUAAAUUAGAGGUCUCAUUUGAUAUGAGCCUCCAUCUUUUGACCCUAUGUAAUAAACAUUUUUAGACAUAAUGUUAAUGAAAACUCUCAUCAGUAUGUGCCUAUUGCAAAAUAGGCCAAACAUGCAAUCCCCUUUAAA
This is a long non-coding RNA of Capsicum annuum, 793 nucleotides long. RefSeq lists it as uncharacterized. Lineage: Eukaryota; Viridiplantae; Streptophyta; Magnoliopsida; Solanales; Solanaceae. The record is from RefSeq and is a predicted model, not a curated record. The transcript has 3 exons.